AAUAGCUUCCCAAUGAUAAAUCGGAAGGACAGGAGUGCUACGUACAGACAAAAAGGUUGAAAUGCAAAAAAAUAAAAAGUGGAAAACAGCUGGUCCUCAGGAUCCUCCAGCCUUUGCCAAGGAAAAGUGGUUUUAAUCACUGAAGAAUGAGGCUUCAACAUAUGGAAAGACUGUAAGGUGUUCCUGGACAGCAAGUGAGUGACUUGCUCACAGGCGGUAAUUCAGGGACCCAGGUUUCUUCUACCUGGUAGCUCUACUGUCCUUCAGAACCUCAGAGCCCUGUGCAUUCAGCCAGCAGGAGAAAGACCACUACUAAGGUCAUUCACUUUGGGAGAAGCCAGUCUUCAUGCCAUGAGGACGUUCAGGCAGCCCUGUGGAGAGAACCACAUGGAAAGGAUCUGAGGUCUCUCACCAGCACCAAUUUGCCAGCUAUGGGAAUGGGCCACCUUGGAAGGAGACUGUCCAGCCCAAGUGAAGGCUGCAGAUAACUGCAGCUUUGGCCAACAUUUGGCUAUAUUGCUUUGGGAAAUCUCAAGCCAGAACCAUCUGGCCAAGCUGCUCUUAAAUUCCUGAUCCACAGAAGUUUUGGAAGGCCCUCUUGUGUGAUCCAGAGAGGUUGCAACAUUUUUUGAGUCAGCUGCCUAUGCUAUUUGCAGACCUGCUGGUUGUUGGUGACGCAGCUUCUUCUGCACCCUCCCUGGAUUGUGCAAUUAAUUGGCUUAAGCUAGAGCUGCAAAAACAACACCAAACACAGGUAUUGUACUCUGGCAGGCUAACUACAGAGGCAGUGAGAUUCAAGGCAAUCAAUAAAUAUAAAGGGG
RNAcentral lists this long non-coding RNA (821 nucleotides) under Homo sapiens (human). RNAcentral describes it as "HSALNT0280641". Lineage: Eukaryota; Metazoa; Chordata; Mammalia; Primates; Hominidae. The record is from RNAcentral.